Molecule: ribosomal RNA, 497 nt
Filed under: uncultured bacterium
Lineage: Bacteria
Description: partial 16S ribosomal RNA
Rfam family: Bacterial small subunit ribosomal RNA
Source: RNAcentral
GAUGAACGCUGGCGGCGUGCUUAAUACAUGCAAGUCGAGCGAACAGACGAGGAGCUUGCUCCUCUGACGUUAGCGGCGGACGGGUGAGUAACACGUGGAUAACCUCCCUAUAAGACUGGGAUAACUUCGGGAAACCGGAGCUAAUACCGGAUAAUAUAUUGAACCGCAUGGUUCAAUAGUGAAAGACGGUUUUGCUGUCACUUAUAGAUGGAUCCGCGCCGCAUUAGCUAGUUGGUAAGGUAACGGCGUACCAAGGCAACGAUGCGUAGCCGACCUGAGAGGGGGGUCGGCGACACUAGAAGGGAGACACGGACCAGACGACUACGAGAGGCAGCAGUAGGGAAUCGUCCGCAAUAGGCGAGAGCAUGACGGAGCAGCGCCGCGUGAGUGGUGACGGUCUUCGGAGCGUAAAAAUCUGUUAUUAGGGGAGAACAAAUGUGUAAGUAACUAUGCACGUCUUGACGGUAACUAAUCAGAAAGCCACGGCUAACUACGUG